GUGUUGCAUUUCCUCCCUUCCAUACACGCAAGGCGGCGAGAGUCUGAAGUGUUGUCCUUUUCGCUCAUCUGCGACAAUGGUGAAAGUAGCAGCGAGGAAGCCAAAAGUGGCCAAGAAGCCAGACAACGUCAACAAGAAGAAGAUCGUAAAGACAAAGAAGAAGAAAAAUAUUGCAGAAAGAUCGAUCAUCCCAAAAACAUCAGCUAUUCAAGCUGCCGAUGACUCUUCGGAUUCUGACGGAGAGGACUACUCACCCGAACAGAUCCAGAAGCUCAUCGAACCAUACACUAAGGAUCAGUUAAUCGAAUUCAUCAUCAACGCUGCGAUAGCAAACCCUUCGCUCUACACACGCAUUCGUGACGCUGCCGACAGUGAUGUCUCUCAUCGGAAGAUCUUCGUCUACGGCCUUGGCUGGGACACCACCAAGGAAACCCUAACUCUUGCCUUCAAACCAUACGGCGAAAUCGAGGAUUGCAACGUCAUCAUCGACCGCGUCACCGGGAAAGCCAAGGGUUUCGGGUUCGUUCAAUUUAGGUCACGGAAAGGGGCAAUGAAGGCUCUUGAAGAACCAAAAAAGAAGAUUAAUAACCGAAUGGCGUCGUGUCAGCUGGCGUCUUUGGGGCCUGCUGUCGCUGGCUCCAUGGACAACUCCAAUAGGAAGAUAUAUGUUAGUAACGUUCAACCCCAUGCCGAUCCAGAACGACUGCGGGCGUUCUUUUCCAAGUUUGGGGAAAUAGAGACUGGUCCAUUAGGGUUUGACACGUCAACAGGAAAGUCACGUGGCUUUGCUUUGUUUGUGUAUAAGAAUCAAGAAGGGUUUAGAAAGGCUUUAGAAGAGCCUUACAAGGUAUUCGAAGGACAUCAAUUGCAUUGCCAGAAGGCAGCUGACGGGAAAAACAAAGGGACUGCAACGUCAGCGCCGGUGACAGUUACUACACCUGUUGUACAACAACCUACUCCGCAAAUGCUUGCUGCGGUUGCUGCGACUCAGAAUUUUGGAUUGUUCAGUCAGUCUCACCUGGGAUUGAACCCUAUGUAUGGAGGGUUGUUUUCAAACCCAAACGCAGGGUUUCUUGCAGCAAAUCCUCUUUAUGCUUCAGGGGUUUUGGGGCAAAUGGGUGCUGUUGGUGGUGCACCAGCCGGGUUAGGUAGUUACUACGCUGGUGCAUCCCACGGGCUGAGCAUGGGUGUUGAUAAUGGGUCAUUGCUAGGGGAAUAUGGCGGGGCUACUCUCCCAGUGAUACAGGGUUUGGGCCUACAAAGUAGCUACCCGAAGAAAAAGGUGGGGGCUGCUUCAGCUUCAGCCUCUGGUUCCAGGUCUCAAGGUGCUGGUGGCUCUUUCAGUGGUUAUCCAUCUCAUUUGUGAGAAGUGGUUGAAGGUUUCAGUUCGAAGUUGGUUUAAUGAUGACUCUGGCAAAACCUCUGGGGCCAACUAGUUCAAUUGAGAUGAAGUGCAGCUGCCAUUGAGAUUAAUUUUCCCUCAGUAUUGAAGGAUCUGUUUUAAAAGGCUCUUUUACUGUUGGUUGCUAUACAUUGGAAGCUCUCCAUGUACAAAGAUCUUUUGUAUUUCAGCUGUCUUUCCUGAGUCAAAUUCUUCUCCUUUUCGCCAAUUUCCUUUAAUUUUUAGUAUACUUUCAUAGUUUCCUUGUAUGGAUUUGAUGACUUUUUAUCGUUCAUUAUAUUUUAGUUUUCUUCCUAAUUUUUCUGGGAAUAUUUUCAUUGAUUUUUACCUUAUUUUCCUAUUACCUUCACUAUAGCAGGUUAUGUUAUCUCCUUUCUACUAUUGUGUAGGAUGCUUUCGGUUUGUAGGUUGAUUUGAUUUGC
Molecule: RNA transcript, 1824 nt
Organism: Cynara cardunculus var. scolymus (artichoke)
Lineage: Eukaryota; Viridiplantae; Streptophyta; Magnoliopsida; Asterales; Asteraceae
Gene name: UBP1-associated protein 2A-like
Exons: 3
Source: RefSeq, a predicted model, not a curated record